CAGGAUGAGCCCGCGGCCUAUUAGCUUGUUGGUGAGGUAGUGGCUCACCAAGGCGACGACGGGUAGCCGGCCUGAGAGGGCGACCGGCCACACUGGGACUGAGACACGGCCCAGACUCCUACGGGACCCAGCAGUGGGGAAUAUUGCACAAUGGGCGAAAGCCUGAUGCAGCGACGCCGCGUGAGGGAUGACGGCCUUCGGGUUGUAAACCUCUUUCAGCAGGGAAGAAGCGAAAGUGACGGUACCUGCAGAAGAAGCGCCGGCUAACUACGUGCCAGCAGCCGCGGUAAUACGUAGGGCGCAAGCGUUGUCCGGAAUUAUUGGGCGUAAAGAACUCGUAGGCGGCUUGUCACGUCGGUUGUGAAAGCCCGGGGCUUAACCCCGGGUCUGCAGUCGAUACGGGCAGGCUAGAGUUCGGUAGGGGAGAUCGGAAUUCCUGGUGUAGCGGUGAAAUGCGCAGAUAUCAGGAGGAACACCGGUGGCGAAGGCGGAUCUCUGGGCCGAUACUGACGCUGAGGAGCGAAAG
RNAcentral lists this ribosomal RNA (526 nucleotides) under Streptomyces sp. LP41. RNAcentral's name for it is "bacterial SSU rRNA". It matches the Rfam family "Bacterial small subunit ribosomal RNA", at positions 221 to 759 of the family's 1533-position model. Lineage: Bacteria; Bacillati; Actinomycetota; Actinomycetes; Kitasatosporales; Streptomycetaceae. The record is from RNAcentral.